CAGAUGACGGGUUCUAACGAGUUCAAGUUGAACCAGCCGCCGGAGGACGGCAUCUCUUCUGUGAAGUUCAGCCCCAUCACCUCCCAGUUCCUGCUGCUCUCCUCCUGGGACACGUCGGUGCGCCUUUACGAGGUGCCAGCCAACUCCAUGCGGCUCAAGUACCAGCACGCUGGCGCGGUCCUGGACUGCGCGUUCUAUGACCCAACGCGCGCAUGGGGUGGGGGAUUAGAUCAUCAGCUGAAAAUGCAUGAUUUGAACACUGAUCAAGAAAACCUUGUUGGAACCCACGAUGCCCCAAUUAGAUGUGUUGAAUACUGUCCAGAAGUGAAUGUGUUGGUCACUGGAAGUUGGGAUCAGACAGUUAAAUUGUGGGAUCCAGAACUCCUUGUAAUGCUGGGACCUUCUCUCAGCCUGAAAAGGUCUACACACUCUCAGUGUCUGGAGACCGGCUGAUUGUGGGCACAGCAGGCCGCAGAGUGUUAGUGUGGGACUUACGGAGCAUGAGCUAUGUGCAGCAGCGCAGGGAAUCCAGCCUGAAAUACCAGACUCGCUGCAUCCGAGCAUUUCCGAACAAGCAGGGUUAUGUAUUAAGCUCUAUUGAAGGCCGAGUGGCAGUUGAAUACCUGGACCCAAGCCCUGAGGUGCAGAAGAAGAAGUAUGCCUUCAAGUGUCACAGGCUAAAAGAAAAUAAUAUUGAGCAGAUUUAUCCAGUUAAUGCCAUUUCCUUUCGUAAUAUCCACAAUACAUUUGCCACAGGCGGUUCUGAUGGAUUUGUAAAUAUUUGGGAUCCAUUUAAUAAAAAGCGACUGUGCCAGUUUCAUCGGUACCCCACCAGCAUCGCAUCACUUGCUUUUAGCAAUGAUGGGACUACGCAUGCAAUAGCAUCAUCAUAUAUGUAUGAAAUGGAUGACACAGAACAUCCUGAAGAUGGUAUCUUCAUUUGCCAAGUGACAGAUACAGAAACAAAACCCAAGUCCGCCUAAUCAUCUCGUGAAAGUGGUUUCUCUAUGGAAAGCUUUGUUUGCUUCCUACAAGUGCAUGCUUAUCCCCUAAGGGAUGUGUUGUAGUUACUAUGGCCCUGUUGUUUAG
Molecule: RNA transcript, 1089 nt
Organism: Octodon degus (degu)
Lineage: Eukaryota; Metazoa; Chordata; Mammalia; Rodentia; Octodontidae
Gene name: mitotic checkpoint protein BUB3 pseudogene
Exons: 1
Source: RefSeq, a predicted model, not a curated record